GACGAACGCUGGCGGCGUGCUUAACACAUGCAAGUCGAACGGAAAGGCCCUGCUUUUGUGGGGUGCUCGAGUGGCGAACGGGUGAGUAACACGUGAGUAACCUGCCCUUGACUUUGGGAUAACUUCAGGAAACUGGGGCUAAUACCGGAUAGGAGCUCCUGCGGCAUGGUGGGGGUUGGAAAGUUUCGGCGGUUGGGGAUGGACUCGAGGCUUAUCAGCUUGUUGGUGGGGUAGUGGCUUACCAAGGCUUGGACGGGUAGCCGGCCUGAGAGGGUGACCGGCCACACUGGGACUGAGAUACGGCCCAGACUCCUACGGGAGGCAGCAGUGGGGAAUAUUGCACAAUGGGCGGAAGCCUGAUGCAGCAACGCCGCGUGCGGGAUGACGGCCUUCGGGUUGUAAACCGCUGUCGCCUGUGACGAAGCGUGAGUGACGGUAAUGGGUAAAGAAGCACCGGCUAACUACGUG
This 468-nucleotide ribosomal RNA is filed under the name uncultured bacterium. RNAcentral describes it as "partial 16S ribosomal RNA". It matches the Rfam family "Bacterial small subunit ribosomal RNA", at positions 28 to 507 of the family's 1533-position model. The record is from RNAcentral.